ACUCCUACGGGAGGCAGCAGUGGGGAAUCUUGCGCAAUGGGCGGAAGCCUGACGCAGCAACGCCGCGUGGGGAUGGACGGCCUCGGGUUGGUAAAACCUCUUUCGCGAUCGACGAAGCUCGUACUUCUGGUACGGGUGACGGUAGGUCGAGAAGAAGCACCGGCCAACUACGUGCCAGCAGCCGCGGUAAUACGUAGGGUGCGAGCGUUGUCCGGAAUUAUUGGGCGUAAAGAGCUCGUAGGCGGUGUGUCGCGUCGGCCGUGAAAACCUGGGGCUUAACUCUGGGCGUGCGGUCGAUACGGGCAUCACUGGAGUUCGGCAGGGAGACUGGAAUUCCUGGUGUAGCGGUGAAAUGCGCAGAUAUCAGGAGGAACACCGGUGGCGAAGGCGGGUCUCUGGGCCGAUACUGACGCUGAGGAGCGAAAGCAUGGGUAGCGAACAGGAUUAGAUACCCUGGUAGCGAGUAG
This 467-nucleotide ribosomal RNA is filed under the name uncultured bacterium. RNAcentral's name for it is "bacterial SSU rRNA". It matches the Rfam family "Bacterial small subunit ribosomal RNA", at positions 335 to 802 of the family's 1533-position model. The record is from RNAcentral.